This 64-nucleotide transfer RNA is filed under the name Stylochus stellae. RNAcentral's name for it is "tRNA-Gln". The record is from RNAcentral. Lineage: Eukaryota; Metazoa; Platyhelminthes; Polycladida; Stylochidae.
UAUGAGACAGUGUUUAGUUGCACAUAAGUUUUUGGUACUUAAAGAAAACGUAGUUUUCUCAUAA